This 1556-nucleotide long non-coding RNA is filed under the name Manihot esculenta (cassava). RNAcentral describes it as "long non-coding RNA (MESC_LNC000980)". The record is from RNAcentral. Lineage: Eukaryota; Viridiplantae; Streptophyta; Magnoliopsida; Malpighiales; Euphorbiaceae.
GUUCAGUGAUUUCAUAAUUUACAGCAACCCAUCCAUCCUUUCCUGUAUCAACCAUGGCUAGCCAGUUGAGCCCACAUUAUUAAUACUCCUGUACAAAUACAACAUCCCCUAUCAUCAUCCGUACACUGUCCAAUGAAAGAAAUCAGAAGUGGGAUAAAAUUACAACACAAUAAUAAGUUGCUGAAAAGCUGGGAACGAAUGAAACUGAAGAGAAGAAGAUGAUAAUGAUGAUGUGUAAUAAUAGGGAUAGUGGCAAAGAACAGAAGUGAUUGACAGAGUAUUGCUAUUAAAGACUGCCUCUUUCGUUUUGGCUUUUUGUCAAACACUUGGUGGGGACUGAGGGAUUGGGAGCUAUUAGGACUCUCCUUUUAAGUUAGGGGAAAUGAGGACACCCAUGUACUGGAAAGCCUCUAUAAGGGGCCUAAUCACUUUGGCUAAGGGACAAAAUCCCAUGUUUUUUGUUGAAGCUCUUUAGCACAAUAGUUCAAGUUCGCUAGUCGGCCAUUAACUAUGAUUUGGACCCCACUUUAACACCUAACCAUCCUACACAAAUCCUUCUUUUUCUCCACAAACUAAUCUUUUAUUUCCAAUUUUCUGCAAUUUGAGAAAAAAAAAAAAGAAACCCACUUUUUCUCUUUUAUCGUUCUUAAAUUUUGUACCAAAUUUCUUUGAUUAUUUGCUCUUUUUCUAAUAUUAAUUUUUUGACUUGUUACACAAUCAACCUCAACACGCACCACUAACAUACCAAAUUCCUGAUUUAUAACCAUAUCUUACAUUCAUAAUCUUUUGGAGCUCGUGGUUGGACACCACUCUUCUCUUUAAACCUUUUAGCUUACCAAAUCUCUUUUCCUCUGUCUCUCUAGAGUUUCUCUGAUCUGCUCCUUCUUUUUCUCUCUUUCUUGCACUUCUAGGUUUUGGGGUUGGUGAAAUGGUUAAGAGUCAUCUAGUUCUAGUGCUCUGGCUGCUCUUACUUGCAUCUUUUGUUUCUCACUCUCAUGGGUCGAGGCAGAGUUCUCAGUUUUUCAAGAACAAGGCCGAGUCUCAGAAUCCACCACGUAACUUCUUUGGUUUCUUGCCAAAAGCAAUGCCAAUUCCCCCAUCUGGUCCUUCAAAGAACCACAAUGACAUCGGCCUACAAAGCACUAAAGCAUUGCCGUGAAGAAAAAUAUCACAGAAGCAACACGAUUCCUCUUUUAUUUCCACUUUUUAUGCAAAUUAACAUCUUUGAUCAUCAGUAUGUAUAUGGGUUUGUGGGUUUUUUUUAUAAAAAUUUUCUGGUUUUGCUCUUUUGUUGGCUCUCUCGUGAAAAAAAAGAGGGAAAGAUUGCUUAAACUGUUCAUGAGUACUUUGCUAGCUACUAGCAGAAAAUCAUGAGUUCCCCAUUUAAAAAGAAGCUUCAAGAUUGAGAGGAAAAAGAAAAUUUUGUAUAGAAAUACAAAGAAAAAUUGUAUCAAACAGGUAGCUAGGCUUUCUGGUUUUGUGUACUGAUCCUUCAUUAUAUUAAUUAUUUUUUGCCUUGUGUUUGCAAAAUUAAUCAUGGAAAUGCAUGAUAACAC